AUUGAACGCUGGCGGAAUGCUAAACACAUGCAAGUCGAACGGCAGCACGGGUGCUUGCACCUGGUGGCGAGUGGCGAACGGGUGAGUAAUGCGUCGGAACGUACCGAGUAAUGGGGGAUAACGCAGCGAAAGUUGUGCUAAUACCGCAUACGCCCUGAGGGGGAAAGUGGGGGACCGCAAGGCCUCACGUUAUUCGAGCGGCCGACGUCUGAUUAGCUAGUUGGUGGGGUAAAGGCCUACCAAGGCGACGAUCAGUAGCGGGUCUGAGAGGAUGAUCCGCCACACUGGGACUGAGACACGGCCCAGACUCCUACGGGAGGCAGCAGUGGGGAAUUUUGGACAAUGGGGGCAGCCCUGAUCCAGCCAUUCCGCGUGAGUGAAGAAGGCCUUCGGGUUGUAAAGCUCUUUCAGCUGGAACGAAACGGUACGCGCUAACAUCGUGUGCUAAUGACGGUACCGGCAGAAGAAGCACCGGCUAACUACGUGCCAGCAGCCGCGGUAAUACGUAGGGUGCGAGCGUUAAUCGGAAUUACUGGGCGUAAAGCGUGCGCAGGCGGAUUGUUAAGCAAGACGUGAAAUCCCCGGGCUUAACCUGGGAAUGGCGUUUUGAACUGGCAGUCUAGAGUGCGUCAGAGGGGGGUGGAAUUCCACGUGUAGCAGUGAAAUGCGUAGAGAUGUGGAGGAAUACUGAUGGCGAACGCAGCCCCCUGGGAUGACACUGACGCUCAUGUACGAAAGCGUGGG
Molecule: ribosomal RNA, 744 nt
Filed under: uncultured bacterium
Lineage: Bacteria
Description: bacterial SSU rRNA
Rfam family: Bacterial small subunit ribosomal RNA
Source: RNAcentral